RNAcentral lists this ribosomal RNA (253 nucleotides) under uncultured bacterium. RNAcentral describes it as "partial 16S ribosomal RNA". It matches the Rfam family "Bacterial small subunit ribosomal RNA", at positions 524 to 776 of the family's 1533-position model. The record is from RNAcentral.
UCCGGGGGGUGCAAUCGUUAUUCGGAAUUAUUGGGCGUAAAGGGCGCGUAGGCGGUUGAAUAAGUCAGAUGUGAAAGCCCUUGGCUUAACCAAGGAAGUGCAUUUGAUACUAUUUGACUUGAGUAUGGGAGAGGGAAGUGGAAUUCCUGGUGUAGAGGUGAAAUUCGUAGAUAUCAGGAGGAACACCGGUGGCGAAAGCGACUUCCUGGACCAAUACUGACGCUGAGGCGCGAAGGCGUGGGGAGAAAACAGG